Molecule: transfer RNA, 74 nt
Filed under: Sceloporus carinatus
Lineage: Eukaryota; Metazoa; Chordata; Lepidosauria; Squamata; Phrynosomatidae
Description: tRNA-Ile
Rfam family: tRNA
About the family: Transfer RNA (tRNA) molecules are approximately 80 nucleotides in length. Their secondary structure includes four short double-helical elements and three loops (D, anti-codon, and T loops). Further hydrogen bonds mediate the characteristic L-shaped molecular structure. tRNAs have two regions of fundamental functional importance: the anti-codon, which is responsible for specific mRNA codon recognition, and the 3' end, to which the tRNAs corresponding amino acid is attached (by aminoacyl-tRNA synthetases). tRNAs cope with the degeneracy of the genetic code in two manners: having more than one tRNA (with a specific anti-codon) for a particular amino acid; and 'wobble' base-pairing, i.e. permitting non-standard base-pairing at the 3rd anti-codon position.
Source: RNAcentral
GGACGUGUGCCCGAAUAUAGCCAAAGGAUUACUUUGAUAGAGUAAACAAUAGAGGUUAAAAUCCUCUCACUUCC